UGUGUAAAUCUAAUAUACACAUUCAUUUAAUAAAUAGUAGAUAAAUAUGUCAUCAG
Molecule: transfer RNA, 56 nt
Filed under: Ochromonas sp. CCMP1393
Lineage: Eukaryota; Chrysophyceae; Chromulinales; Chromulinaceae
Description: partial tRNA
Source: RNAcentral